This 206-nucleotide ribosomal RNA is filed under the name uncultured bacterium. RNAcentral's name for it is "partial 16S ribosomal RNA". It matches the Rfam family "Bacterial small subunit ribosomal RNA", at positions 1287 to 1500 of the family's 1533-position model. The record is from RNAcentral.
CUCAGUUCGGAUUGGAGUCUGCAACCCGACUCCAUGAAGCUGGAUUCGCUAGUAAUCGCGCAUCAGCCACGGCGCGGUGAAUACGUUCCCGGGCCUUGUACACACCGCCCGUCAAGCCAUGGAAGCCGGGGGUGCCUGAAGUGCGCUGCCGCAAGGAGCGCCCUAGGGUAAAACCGGUGACUGGGGCUAAGUCGUAACAAGGUAUC